GACGAACGCUGGCGGCGUGCUUAACACAUGCAAGUCGAACGGAAAGGCCCUGCUUUUGUGGGGUGCUCGAGUGGCGAACGGGUGAGUAACACGUGAGUAACCUGCCCUUGACUUUGGGAUAACUUCAGGAAACUGGGGCUAAUACCGGAUAGGAGCUCCUGCUGCGUGGUGGGGGAUGGAAAGUUUCGGCGGUUGGGGAUGGACUCGCGGCUUCUCCGCUUGUUGGUGGGGUAGUGGCUUACCAAGGCUUUGACGGGUAGCCGGCCUGAGAGGGUUACCGGCGACAUUGGGACUGAGGGAGGGACCAGAAGGGUACGGGCGGCAGCAGUGGGGAAUAUGGCACAACGGGGGGAAGCCUGAGGCAGCAACGUCGGGAGCGGGAUGCCGGCCUUCGGGUUGUAAACCGCUUUCGCCGGUGACGAAGCGUGCGUGACGGUAAUGGGUAAAGAAGCACCGGCUAACUACGUG
This 468-nucleotide ribosomal RNA is filed under the name uncultured bacterium. RNAcentral describes it as "partial 16S ribosomal RNA". It matches the Rfam family "Bacterial small subunit ribosomal RNA", at positions 28 to 507 of the family's 1533-position model. The record is from RNAcentral.